UACGUAGGGUGCGAGCGUUGUCCGGAAUUAUUGGGCGUAAAGGGCUCGUAGGCGGUUUGUCGCGUCGGGAGUGAAAACUCAGGGCUUAACCCUGAGCCUGCUUCCGAUACGGGCAGACUAGAGGUAUGCAGGGGAGAACGGAAUUCCUGGUGUAGCGGUGAAAUGCGCAGAUAUCAGGAGGAACACCGGCGGCGAAGGCGGUGCUCUGGGCCAGUAUUGACGCUGAGGAGCGAAAGCGUGGGUAGCAAACAGG
Molecule: ribosomal RNA, 253 nt
Filed under: uncultured bacterium
Lineage: Bacteria
Description: partial 16S ribosomal RNA
Rfam family: Bacterial small subunit ribosomal RNA
Source: RNAcentral